GACGAACGCUGGCGGCGUGCCUAAUACAUGCAAGUUGAGCGCUGAAGGUUGGUACUUGUACCAACUGGAUGAGCAGCGAACGGGUGAGUAACGCGUGGGGAAUCUGCCUUUGAGCGGGGGACAACAUUUGGAAACGAAUGCUAAUACCGCAUAAAAACUUUAAACACAAGUUUUAAGUUUGAAAGAUGCAAUUGCAUCACUCAAAGAUGAACCCGCGUUGUAUUAGCUAGUUGGUGAAGUAAAGGCUCACCAAGGCGAUGAUACAUAGCCGACCUGAGAGGGUGAUCGGCCACAUUGGGACUGAGACACGGCCCAAACUCCUACGGGAGGCAGCAGUAGGGAAUCUUCGGCAAUGGACGAAAGUCUGACCGAGCAACGCCGCGUGAGUGAAGAAGGUUUUCGGAUCGUAAAACUCUGUUGGUAGAGAAGAACGUUGGUGAGAGUGGAAAGCUCAUCAAGUGACGGUAACUACCCAGAAAGGGACGGCUAACUACGUG
This 497-nucleotide ribosomal RNA is filed under the name uncultured bacterium. RNAcentral's name for it is "partial 16S ribosomal RNA". It matches the Rfam family "Bacterial small subunit ribosomal RNA", at positions 28 to 507 of the family's 1533-position model. The record is from RNAcentral.